This 2916-nucleotide ribosomal RNA is filed under the name Vibrio parahaemolyticus. RNAcentral describes it as "bacterial LSU rRNA". It matches the Rfam family "Bacterial large subunit ribosomal RNA". Lineage: Bacteria; Pseudomonadati; Pseudomonadota; Gammaproteobacteria; Vibrionales; Vibrionaceae. The record is from RNAcentral.
GUUGUAUGGUUAAGUGACUAAGCGUACACGGUGGAUGCCUUGGCAGUCAGAGGCGAUGAAAGACGUAGUAACUUGCGAUAAGCCCAGAUUAGGUAGUAACAACCAUUUGAGUCUGGGAUUUCUGAAUGGGGAAACCCACGUGCAUAAGCACGUAUCCUUACCUGAAUACAUAGGGUAAGGAGGCGAACCGGGGGAACUGAAACAUCUAAGUACCCCGAGGAAAAGAAAUCAACCGAGAUUCCGAAAGUAGCGGCGAGCGAAAUUGGACUAGCCCUUAAGCUUUACACGCGUUAGACGAACGGUCUGGAAAGUCCGACGAUACAGGGUGAUAGUCCCGUAGUUGACGACGUGUGUUCAGUGAAAUCGAGUAGGGCGGGACACGUGAUAUCCUGUCUGAAUAUGGGGGGACCAUCCUCCAAGGCUAAAUACUACUGACUGACCGAUAGUGAACCAGUACCGUGAGGGAAAGGCGAAAAGAACCCCUGUGAGGGGAGUGAAAUAGAACCUGAAACCGUGUACGUACAAGCAGUAGGAGCAGGCUUUGUCCUGUGACUGCGUACCUUUUGUAUAAUGGGUCAGCGACUUAUAUUCAGUGGCAAGGUUAACCAUCUAGGGGAGCCGUAGGGAAACCGAGUCUUAACUGGGCGUUCAGUCUCUGGAUAUAGACCCGAAACCAGGUGAUCUAGCCAUGGGCAGGUUGAAGGUUGAGUAACAUCAACUGGAGGACCGAACCGACUAAUGUUGAAAAAUUAGCGGAUGACUUGUGGCUAGGGGUGAAAGGCCAAUCAAACCUGGAGAUAGCUGGUUCUCCCCGAAAGCUAUUUAGGUAGCGCCUCGGACGAAUACUACUGGGGGUAGAGCACUGUUAAGGCUAGGGGGUCAUCCCGACUUACCAACCCUUUGCAAACUCCGAAUACCAGUAAGUACUAUCCGGGAGACACACGGCGGGUGCUAACGUCCGUCGUGGAGAGGGAAACAACCCAGACCGCCAGCUAAGGUCCCAAAUUACUACUAAGUGGGAAACGAUGUGGGAAGGCUCAGACAGCCAGGAUGUUGGCUUAGAAGCAGCCAUCAUUUAAAGAAAGCGUAAUAGCUCACUGGUCGAGUCGGCCUGCGCGGAAGAUGUAACGGGGCUAAGUAGUAAACCGAAGCUGCGGCAAUAUACUUUUGUAUAUUGGGUAGGGGAGCGUUCUGUAAGCGGUUGAAGGUGUGUGGUAACGCAUGCUGGACGUAUCAGAAGUGCGAAUGCUGACAUGAGUAACGAUAAAGGGGGUGAAAAACCUCCUCGCCGGAAGACCAAGGGUUCCUGUCCAACGUUAAUCGGGGCAGGGUAAGUCGACCCCUAAGGCGAGGCCGAAAGGCGUAGUCGAUGGGAAACGGGUUAAUAUUCCCGUACUUCUUACAAUUGCGAUGGGGGGACGGAGAAGGCUAGGUGGGCCUGGCGACGGUUGUCCAGGUUCAAGUGCGUAGGCUUAAGAGUUAGGUAAAUCCGGCUCUUUUUAAGGCUGAGACACGACGUCGAGCCACUACGGUGGUGAAGUCAUUGAUGCCAUGCUUCCAGGAAAAGCCUCUAAGCUUCAGAUUGUAAGGAAUCGUACCCCAAACCGACACAGGUGGUCGGGUAGAGAAUACCAAGGCGCUUGAGAGAACUCGGGUGAAGGAACUAGGCAAAAUGGUACCGUAACUUCGGGAGAAGGUACGCUCUUGAUGGUGAAGUCCCUUGCGGAUGGAGCUGACGAGAGUCGCAGAUACCAGGUGGCUGCAACUGUUUAUUAAAAACACAGCACUGUGCAAAAUCGUAAGAUGACGUAUACGGUGUGACGCCUGCCCGGUGCCGGAAGGUUAAUUGAUGGGGUUAGACUUCGGUCGAAGCUCUUGAUCGAAGCCCCGGUAAACGGCGGCCGUAACUAUAACGGUCCUAAGGUAGCGAAAUUCCUUGUCGGGUAAGUUCCGACCUGCACGAAUGGCGUAAUGAUGGCCACGCUGUCUCCACCCGAGACUCAGUGAAAUUGAAAUCGCUGUGAAGAUGCAGUGUACCCGCGGCUAGACGGAAAGACCCCGUGAACCUUUACUACAGCUUGGCACUGAACAUUGACCCUACAUGUGUAGGAUAGGUGGGAGGCUUUGAAGCACGUACGCCAGUAUGUGUGGAGCCGUCCUUGAAAUACCACCCUUGUAGUGUUGAUGUUCUAACGUUGACCCCUUAUCGGGGUUGCGGACAGUGCCUGGUGGGUAGUUUGACUGGGGCGGUCUCCUCCCAAAGAGUAACGGAGGAGCACGAAGGUGGGCUAAUCACGGUUGGACAUCGUGAGGUUAGUGCAAUGGCAUAAGCCCGCUUGACUGCGAGAAUGACAAUUCGAGCAGGUGCGAAAGCAGGUCAUAGUGAUCCGGUGGUUCUGAAUGGAAGGGCCAUCGCUCAACGGAUAAAAGGUACUCCGGGGAUAACAGGCUGAUACCGCCCAAGAGUUCAUAUCGACGGCGGUGUUUGGCACCUCGAUGUCGGCUCAUCACAUCCUGGGGCUGAAGUCGGUCCCAAGGGUAUGGCUGUUCGCCAUUUAAAGUGGUACGCGAGCUGGGUUUAGAACGUCGUGAGACAGUUCGGUCCCUAUCUGCCGUGGGCGUUGGAAGAUUGAAGGGGGCUGCUCCUAGUACGAGAGGACCGGAGUGGACGAACCUCUGGUGUUCGGGUUGUGUCGCCAGACGCAUUGCCCGGUAGCUAAGUUCGGAAUCGAUAACCGCUGAAAGCAUCUAAGCGGGAAGCGAGCCCUGAGAUGAGUCUUCCCUGAUACUUUAAGUAUCCUAAAGGGUUGUCGGAGACUACGACGUUGAUAGGUCAGGUGUGUAAGUGCUGUGAGGCAUUGAGCUAACUGAUACUAAUUGCCCGUGAGGCUUAACCAUACAACACCCAAGGGGUUU